Molecule: long non-coding RNA, 2087 nt
Filed under: Citrus sinensis (sweet orange)
Lineage: Eukaryota; Viridiplantae; Streptophyta; Magnoliopsida; Sapindales; Rutaceae
Description: long non-coding RNA (CSIN_LNC002065)
Source: RNAcentral
AUUAGAGAAAAUUGCAAGGGAUGUCCUCGCUGUUCCUGUUUCCACAGUGGCAUCUGAAUCUGCCUUUAGCACAGGGCGUCGCGUCAUUGACGAAUAUCGGAGUUCUUUGACCCCUUGUAUGGUUGAGGCAUUGAUAUGUACCGAAAAUUGGUUACAAGCUAAACUUUUUGCUAAUCCUGUCUAUAACCUUCAGGAAGAUAUUAAAGAGCAGAUAUUCCAUAUGGAGCUACAAGAAGGUAAUAUUUUUCUCAUAUUUUAUAAAUUUAAGAUGUAUUAUAACUUUAUAAAUAGCAUCUACAUGUACUUAAGUUACUUACUAAUUUCAUUUUUUUUUAACAUUUUAAAGAGUUUGUAAGAUCACAAGCUUCAACGGUGGAAACAGUGAGCGCUGAUAUGGGUGUUAUGGAUAUUUGAAAGGUAAUUCUUAAUAUAUAUUAUUAUUUAUAAUUUCAUAUUAUAUGUUUAGGUUGUAAUUUACACUAUAAUAAUAGAUAAUAGUUGUUAUAGUUUUAAUUUAUAAUUGUUUCAUUUAUUUUAGACACAUUGAAAUUGUUGGAAUGGUAUUACCUAGGAAUUAAGAUUAUUAUUAAAUUUACUUGAUGAUGAAUGCCAUGAAAUAAGCCACAAUUGACUUAAUUUUUUUUCUUAUAUUUAAUCAAGUACACACAUGAAUUGGGCAUAUGUGUUUGUGUUUAAUGUCCCUUUAUUUGUCAUGUGGCUUAAAGAAAGUAGUUAAAUGAUUAUCUAUUAUUUUUUCAAUUUUUUCCUAGGGGAUAUAUGCUUCAAUUCUUCGACUUCUGCUGUACGGCCAAGGCGGAUGUACGGUACAGCAGUAUAUGCAUGUGCGUUGUUGUGCACAUAUUUUGAACUUGAUUGUUGUUUCGGGGUUGAAUGAAUUGCAUGCUAGUGUUGCCGCCAUCCGGAAUGCUGUGAAGUAUGUGAGAUCCUCCACAACGAGGCUACAGGCAUUUAAACAGUGUGCUCAACAAGUGAAAUGUCCAAAUGGAACGGUUGUUUUAGAUUGUCCUACUAGGUGGAAUUCCACCUAUUUAAUGUUGAUGACUGCGUUGAAGUUUCAAGCAGCAUUUGAUAGAAUGGCAGAGGUGGAUAAACCGUAUGAGGCAUAUUUUCUCGAGAAAGAAAAUAACAUUAAGAGGGUGGGCCCACCUGGACCUGAGGAUUGGGAGAGUGCAGGGCGAAUUGUAAAGUUUUUAAAGGUAUUUUAUGAUGCCACAUUGUUAUUUUCUGCUUCUUUGAGUGUGACUUCUAAUCUUUGUUAUGAUACCAUUGGCUUAAUUGAGAGCUCAUUGACUGCAUUAGAGGGAAGUAGAGAUCCUUGGGUGGUGGCUAUGGCUUAUCAAAUGAGGGCAAAAUUUGAUAAAUAUUGGGAGUCUUCAGGGAAGAUAAAUAAAAUGUUGAUUGUUGCCUCUAUUCUUGAUCCACGAGCUAAAAUGGACUUUGCCAAACAUAUUUUUGGGAUAAUUUUUGCCAAUGAUAGUUGGAAAGUUGAAGAAAUGACCAAAGCAGUGAAAGAUUUGUUGAAUGAGCUUUAUGAUGCAUAUAGUGCAAUGUGCUCUAGUUCCACACCAUCGAUGUGUAGUGAGAGUGUUCCUAGCGGCAGCUAUGGUGGUACAAGUUAUUCUCCUUAUUUUACAACUGAGGUUGGUUUGCCGGAGGGUCCUAGUGGUGAUAGUGAUGACAUUUUCCGAGUUUCUCGCCCUUUCUUUGAGUAUGCUCAGAAAGUGUUUGUUCAGAAUGAGGGCAAGAGAGUAGUAUUUGAGGUGGAACGAUAUUUGAGUGACCCAGUUGAAGAUCCAAGCAAUCUUAAGCUCAAUGUUUUGCUUUGGUGGAAGGUUAAUGGAUCGAAGUAUCUGAUAUUAGAGAAAAUUGCAAGGGAUGUCUUCGCUGUUCUUGUUUCCACAGUGGCAUCUGAAUCUGCCUUUAGCACAGGGCGUCGCGUCAUUGACGAAUAUCGGAGUUCUUUGACCCCUUGUAUGGUUGAGGCAUUGAUAUGUACCGAAAAUUGGUUACAAGCUAAACUUUUUGCUAAUCCUGUCUAUAACCUUCAGGAAGAUAUUAAAGAGCAG